This 425-nucleotide ribosomal RNA is filed under the name uncultured bacterium. RNAcentral's name for it is "partial 16S ribosomal RNA". It matches the Rfam family "Bacterial small subunit ribosomal RNA", at positions 354 to 796 of the family's 1533-position model. The record is from RNAcentral.
GUGGGGAAUCUUAGACAAUGGGCGCAAGCCUGAUCUAGCCAUGCCGCGUGAGCGAUGAAGGCCUUAGGGUUGUAAAGCUCUUUCGUGGGGGAAGAUAAUGACUGUACCCCAAGAAGAAGCCCCGGCUAACUCCGUGCCAGCAGCCGCGGUAAUACGGAGGGGGCUAGCGUUGUUCGGAAUUACUGGGCGUAAAGCGCACGUAGGCGGACUGGAAAGUCAGGGGUGAAAUCCCGGGGCUCAACCCCGGAACUGCCUUUGAAACUCCCAGUCUUGAGUUCGAGAGAGGUGAGUGGAAUUCCGAGUGUAGAGGUGAAAUUCGUAGAUAUUCGGAGGAACACCAGUGGCGAAGGCGACUCACUGGCUCGAUACUGACGCUGAGGUGCGAAAGCGUGGGGAGCAAACAGGAUUAGAAACCCUUGUAGUCC